Molecule: ribosomal RNA, 205 nt
Filed under: uncultured bacterium
Lineage: Bacteria
Description: partial 16S ribosomal RNA
Rfam family: Bacterial small subunit ribosomal RNA
Source: RNAcentral
ACGCUCGACACCUACGGGAGGCAGCAGUGGGGAAUAUUGCACAAUGGGGGAAACCCUGAUGCAGCGACGCCGCGUGGAGGAAGAAGGUCUUCGGAUUGUAAACUCCUGUUGUUGGGGAAAAAGAGGAUGGUACCCAACAAGGAAGUGACGGCUAACUACGUGCCAGUAGCCGCCGGUAAGUACUGAGCGGGCGUGGCGAAGGACG